ACGCGUGUGCUGGUAGGCCAUCAAUGUGGAAUCCAGUCAGACCGAUUUGAGUGUCAUUAAUGCACGUGUCUACAAUUUCAACGAAAAGGGAGAUCUGAAAUCUUCAGAUUCUCCCUACCAGCCAACGGUGACAUCAUUAUAAAUGGGGAGAGACUGAGAGAUUGAAUACAAAUAAUUGCUCAUCUGCGUAUGAACUCUGGU
Drosophila obscura is the source of this 201-nucleotide long non-coding RNA. RefSeq lists it as uncharacterized. The transcript has 3 exons. NCBI's taxonomy places the organism in Eukaryota, Metazoa, Arthropoda, Insecta, Diptera, Drosophilidae. The record is from RefSeq and is a predicted model, not a curated record.